ACUCUUCUUUGCUGACAAUAUGUAAAGCAGCAACUUCCGCAAUGUGGCUACUUGCAGUUUUGCUGGGGAUCACUUUACCGGUGCAUGGCGAUGAAGCAAUGCCACUGGGGAAUAUAUGGCGAGAACUGCGACAGGACCUGCCCCUCCAACUGUUACACUGACCCACGGAGAAACCUCAUACACUGUCACCAGAACACAGGGAAAUGUUCUGAGGGAUGUGUUCGUGGUUUCCAUGGCGACCAGUGUAAUAUAUCCUGCAGCGGAGGCUGUUUAAACGAAACCUGCAAUAACGGAGAUGGAUAUUGUACGUUAGGUUGUAAAGAGACCUACAUCGGGGAUUUCUGCAAUGAGACUUCAGGUACAGUAAUUCAUGCAGGACCUGAACUUUCUUAACUUCUUUAACUUAUGAGACAAUAAAUAGAAAAUCAUAAAUAUGCAUUUCAUAUAUUACUUCUUGGUAGGUAGGUACGUAAGUCCCAAAACAUUUCAAGUAUAUUUAAGUUUAACAGGAUUUUAAUCGUAGUAGUUUUGUCAUUUUAAUGUAUGGCUAAAUCUCAGCAUAAAUGCCA
Long non-coding RNA from Haliotis rubra (blacklip abalone), 569 nucleotides. RefSeq lists it as uncharacterized. The record is from RefSeq and is a predicted model, not a curated record. The transcript has 3 exons. Lineage: Eukaryota; Metazoa; Mollusca; Gastropoda; Lepetellida; Haliotidae.